Molecule: ribosomal RNA, 258 nt
Filed under: uncultured bacterium
Lineage: Bacteria
Description: partial 16S ribosomal RNA
Rfam family: Bacterial small subunit ribosomal RNA
Source: RNAcentral
UACGUAGGGGGCAAGCGUUGUUCGGAUUUAUUGGGCGUAAAGAGCGUGUAGGCGGUCAGGUAGGUCCGUUGUGAAAACUCGAGGCUCAACCUCGAGACGCCGAUGGAAACCAUCUGACUAGAGUCCGGAAGAGGAGAGUGGAAUUCCUGGUGUAGCGGUGAAAUGCGCAGAUAUCCGGAGGAACACCGACGGCGUAGGCAGCGCCCUGGCUGUGAAUAAAGCUGACACUGAGGCACGAAAGCUGGGGGAGCAAACAGG